Paramisgurnus dabryanus is the source of this 421-nucleotide non-coding RNA. NCBI's taxonomy places the organism in Eukaryota, Metazoa, Chordata, Actinopteri, Cypriniformes, Cobitidae. The record is from RefSeq and is a predicted model, not a curated record.
UGUCGCAAAUAACAUCAUUAAUAACCUGUAAAUAAUCAAAUUUGUACACAUUACGUUCCUCUUCACUUUGUAAUAGUAUGUUUUUGGUUUAAUAGUCGGCUUUUAGUUAGUUUUUCUGUCAGUUUGAUCGUCAAAAUCUUGAAAGUUAUCUACAGCCACACAUCCACUGUAUACCAAGUUAUGAUGAUCAAUUAUGAGAAUGCAAAAGGAUUGAUAGAUCAGUAAACAAACAACAAAAAGAUGGGUGCUCAUGGUGGCCUCCGAAUAAAUACAUGGACAGGCUGCUAAAGAGGGUCAGGAUGAUGGAGAUGCAAGAGUCAAAGACAGCACAGACCAAACACCAGGCCAGAAUUCUGCAUGAGUCAGAUUGAGUAAUUUUCACUCUAGAGACCCUGGGGUGACCACCAAGGACGAAUGCAAA